UACAGUAUAUACAAUGUAAAAAGUGGGGUGUUUACAGAGUGUAAUUCCCUAAAAUAAUCUUAGGUAUUGCACUGUAAUACCUACAACUUUUACAGUGACUAUUCUGUAAAUUACACAUAAAAAAUUACAUUGAAAUCAAACUGAAAAAGCACACUGCAGGAAUGACAACAAUGAAGUAGGCACAAAGACAACAUUUUAGACACAUCAGAGAAAAUUCACUGAGUAAAUAAGUAGAAAUUGCAGUGCAAACACCAAGGAAUGACAACAAUGAAAAAUCACAGGAAAUUACAAUGUGAACACCAAGGAUUUACAGUGACUAAAGCUCUGGAAUUACAGUAUACAUUCUAAGGAAUUACUCUGAAAGUAAAGCACAGUGAAGGACCACAUGAAUUAUAGUGCUUCACAAGGAAAAUUUACAGUCUAAAUACACAUGAAUUACUAUAAAAUAAGUACAGCAAAAUACAAUCUAAGAACGCAGAAAUUAACCAGAAGCAAAUCAGGGCAUUCUGGCAAAUUACAGUAAGCACCUUGUGGGAACAUGUAUUGACAAUGUCACAAGAGUUUCUUGUUCAUAUUAUUGCAAAUAUUGACAUUUACUUUUUCAAAAUUGCAGAUGGGAAGCAAGCAAAGAACAAUAACUGAACUUGAUAUACUCACAAUGACACAAGAACUCGUUCUAAAUGUGAGAUAAAAUAGCAAAUAAUGAUCUCAGAAACUUGAAGAAAAAUGCUAUGUACAUAAUAAUGAAAAGUUGGCAAUCUAUUUACUGCUCCCCUACAAUACAGUACAUACAUUUUCAUUUACUGCUCCCCUACAAUCUGACAUUAUAUACAACGCAAAAGACCUAGUUAUCUACAUGAUGGAACUAGCAAAAGCAAAGCGUGAAGAAAUCAAAACUACAAUACAGUACAUACAUUACAGCAAACCCAGCUCUAUGACUUCAUGAGCACAUAUAUAAUACAAAAAAAACAGGGGAGGAAAUACUCUGAUAAUUACAUUUAAUUUGCAGAGGAAAAGCACUGAAAUUCCAUGAGAUGUGCAAACAAACAAUAAGAUACAUAAGCAAAAAAGAUUAAUUAUGGCCUAAAUACAGAACUACGACACUGGGAAACUGCAGUGCAACAGUAAAGAGAGGAACAGACUAAAGCCAUCAGAGAGUUUAGUAUAACAAUGGGGGCUGACAACAUUCCUUCUUCAAGCACAUGAUAAUUUCCUCUUCAAUGAUUCACUUUAUGCAAAAACAAAAAAAGACAAGGGUCAAUCCAAACAAAGAUCAUAAAAAACACAAUCAACUACUUCAAGAAAAAGAACACACAUGAUUCAUAUAUAACUUGAAUAGAGCGUUGUCAAAGCCUCCAUUAUCACCAAGAAGUCCCUGAAAAAAGUCAACAGACCCAAAUUAAAAAUCUGAAAUAGAGAAGAAAGAAGAAAAUAAAUACUAAAGAAGAAGAAACAACUAAGUACCAAUGACAUAGCAUUAGAACCAUCGUGCGCGAAGUCAUUAAGCACAAACGGAACAUUCAAAGAAUAUGCACUCUCAAUAGAUGAUACUAAUGGAAUGUCCUGGUGAGGGACUUUCCGUAGCCUACCCAUUAGAAUAAAAAGCAAAACAAAUCAUAAAAAAAAUGAGAAACAUAUCCGAGAGCUAGCUCUAAACACAUGAAUAUGGCAUAGGAAUGUAGCUCAAAAAUUGCGGAGAAUGAAAUAAAAUUACAGAGAAAUGCAGCUGAAAUUUACAAUCAAAUUACAGUGAAAAACUAGGGAAUUACAGUGUAAAUCUCAGUCAAAUUACAGAGUAAAUCUGACGCAAAUUCCAAUGUAAAUCUCGAUCAAAUUACAGUGUAAUAUCUGGGACAUAUCACAAUGCAAAUCUGGGGAAUUACAGUGUAAAACUCAGUCAAAUUACAUAGUAAAUCUGAGGCAAAUUCAGUGGAAAUCUCAGUCAAACUACAGUGUAAUAUGUGCGACAUAUUACAGUGCAAAUAUGGGGAAUUACAGUGAGCGCAGUCAACUUACAUAGUAAAUCUAGGCAAAUUCCAGUGUAAAUCUCGGUCAAAUUACAGUGUAAUAUCUGAGACAUAUUACAGUGCAAAUCUAGGGGAUUACAUUGUAAAUUUUGGUCAAAUUACAGAGUAAAAGUAGCUGAAAUAUACACAGAAAACGGAGGGCAUAUAACAGUGUAAAAUCUAGGGGAUUGCAGUGUAAAUCUCGGUCAAAUUACGGAGUAAAAGAAGCUGAAACAUACAUAGUAAAUCUACGGCAUAUUGCAGUGUAAAUCUAGGGGAUUACAGUGCAAAUCUCGGGCAUAUUAUAGUGUAAAAGAAGCUCACAUUUACAAAGAAACUCUGGCAUACUACAGUGCAUAUCUGGGACAUACUAGGCAUAUUACACUGCCUACCUAAUAUUUGGAGAUUAAAAGGCUACACUGGAUAUACCACACUGCAAAAUCUAACACUAAAAAACAGAACAAAUUACAGUGCUACUACACAUGGAAUUACAAAGUAAAUGCCGAGGAAUUACAAUGAUAGUGCACAGAGAAAUACAUGGGAUUACCCUUGAGACUACACUGCUCACUCUGCAAACAUCUCACACGGGAAUAAGCACUGGAAAAGCCUAACACAGGGAAACAAUUAAUACUACCAAAAUACAAACAACUACAACCAAAAUCAGGAGGGUUGGAGUAGAACUGCCAUGAACCAACCAGACCAAGAAAAUAUAGAGCCUACCUAUCCAGCAGAAAUUACUGAACCCUAACCACAAGAACAACCCUCUGAUGACACCUACCACCGCCUAUAACCGAUGGGAUCAAAACAUGGAGACCUAAAACCUAACAGCGGAACCACAACCCAGAACAACAGACUAAUUCAUACAUCUACAAAAAAAGCAGAGGAGGAACCAACGGAAUCUACACAUACCCCGCGAAGCUGAACAAAUAGCUGCGUCUACAAGAGCUUUCCACAACAACACCCUGGAACCUACACACACCAGGAAGCCAAGCAAAAACAGAGUUAGAUCUAGAAGCUAAGGGGCAAAAACAUGCGAAAUCACACAGGGGGAGGGGGAGAUGAGAACAACGAACCAUGGCAACCGUGAAUCAAAGAGAAAAUUAAGCUCCAGCAGGGGGAAAGGGGACGGAAUCGCCUCCUCUUCUCCACCGCUCUACGUCUAGCUCUCUCUCUAUCAAAUCGAAAACUAUCGAACACUACCGCCCAAAUGAAAUGGGCAAGGGAAAUACGCAGAAAAAACCAGACAGAAAACCACACCUGGCGAGCGGCGGAAAAACGGGCUGGAGCCAAACGAAACGUGCGCCCGAUAAGAAAAACAGAC
RNAcentral lists this long non-coding RNA (3327 nucleotides) under Triticum aestivum (bread wheat). RNAcentral's name for it is "long non-coding RNA (TAES_LNC005917)". The record is from RNAcentral. Lineage: Eukaryota; Viridiplantae; Streptophyta; Magnoliopsida; Poales; Poaceae.